Molecule: long non-coding RNA, 24488 nt
Organism: Bombus terrestris (buff-tailed bumblebee)
Lineage: Eukaryota; Metazoa; Arthropoda; Insecta; Hymenoptera; Apidae
Exons: 5
Source: RefSeq, a predicted model, not a curated record
GAAAAGCCGAUUCAAUUAUUUCGCUCGCGCUUGCUUCUUUUUCACAGCGAAAAAAUCGCGCGCCACGGACUACGAUCGCAAUUGUGCCAGGCGCGAUUGUUCCGUUUUGAGAAACGUUCGUUGCACGCCACCGAUCGAUCGUACCAAGAGCGUGUGCCUCGUGAUUUGCCGUAAACACGGCUCAAAGGAGGAUCUUUCUGUUCGUACGCGCGGCGGUUAAACGCAAUACGCGCGUGAAAACUUGCCACGACACGUGUUCAGAUAUUUCCGCGAGCCAGCGUACAUAGCUUAACGAGAAACGAAAUAAGACGUUAAGUUGUUUCGCGAGAGUGCGAGGAACGCGAAUGGAAGUUACCUAACGAUGCGGUCAUCCCGCUUGUAAAUUAAAAUUCAGCGCUGCGCACCGACGAAGAUGGCCACCGCAACAUCUGCGAUAGCCAGAAAGGGCCGGGAAGCUCGUACAAAUGCGACGGCAAACCGCAUUCUUAAUUAUAAAACUCGACUGCUACUCGCAGUUUCCGCCACGCUUACCCUCCAGAGAGAGAAAGAGAGAGAGAGAGAGUAAAGCUGGCUUUCACGAACCUGAUUGCGCUGCACGGUUAACAGAGGCGGGAUGAAAUUUGCAAACUACACUUUCGUCUUUCGUUAGGACCGAGAAACGUGUUAUUUCGCGUGCUGUGCGAGACCCGGUUAAAUCGAAGUAAACGGUGCAGUUUGACGAUGCAAAAUAGCAGUUUCGCGAGCAUCUCUGCCCACCGGGCAACUCUAUAAUGCCUUUGCACGUUGUCCUUUCUGUCGACCAAGGGCCACGAUAUUGCCCCUGUGUUUGGCUACCUUGUGGGGCAGCUGGAAAUUUUCAUGUCUUCAUACCUGUCCACUAACUUUCAGUUCUCUCGGUUAUACAAUGCUAAACACUUGACCGGCUGGAGACGCAAAUUCGCGCUUUGCAUACUUCAUGCGGUAUCAUCCUGCAGCAACGAAACCGCCAUCGAUACGUGUUAGAUGUAACAUUGGUCGGUCAGAAAGUUCAUUGCGAUUUUUAAGGAAUUUCAUAAAACAGUAAACUUUGUUUAAUACCUGUGUAAUCGGCAUUAAAGUUGAAAGAACUCCAGAUUCUGGGAGAAAAUAAUUAGAGACGUAAUUGCUUGGGGAACAUUAACCGGAAAAAUAAUUUGCGGCGUAUUAACACGGAAGAGAUUCUCUUUUAUCCGGUUGAGGCGGCGUAAGAGGACGAAAAUGCCGGCAGACGCUUGUAACAGAUUAUCCACGAAAGCGAGUGUUUUUUACUCGACCAGCCGUUGAUGAAUCGCGGGCAUUAACUAUAUCCGCGUCGGGAAUGAAAGGAGGCGCAAGAAUGAACGCGUACUCUUAAUGCAGCCGAUAGAACGCCGACGACAAACAAAAAUGGACGUGGUUUUAUUCCGAGAUACAGAUUGCUCGGCUUUUUCUCGCCUGUUGUAAAAACGCAUUAAGCAACGUUUUAGCCGCGAGUAGGAACACGAAAACAACAUUUGCCGUAAUUACAGCUUCGGCCUCGCCUCGGCCUCCGAGACGAUCAUUUAUGUAUAUAACCGCGCGAUAAUUUUGACCCAGCGAGUCGAACAACGAACAGUGGAAAGCUCGGUCCAAUCAACGUCCAAUGGAAACUUUUUAAAUCGUGUGUACACUGAGGAAUUUCUCAAGCUCGAUCAACGAUAGCACAGAAACAGCCAAAUAUGAAAUAUAUCUAUUAUUUAUAUUGGAAUAUAUCAACUAUUUUGUUGUUCGAGUGUCGCGCGUUCGAUUUAAUACGAUCGAACGCGAGCUUUGAUUCCGAUUAUUUAAAAGGAAAAAAGCACAGCCAGGAAUAAUCUCUCAAGCUCUAUCUGUAUAGCAAAGGAAAGUAGUCACAUAUCUAUAUUCCGUUAUCCAAUAAAAUGUCACACGAUCGAUUUAAUACGAUCGAAUUCGAGUUUCCGAUUAUUUAAAAGGAAAAGAGGACAGCAAGGAAUCUCUCAAGCUGCAUUUGUAGUAGCAAAGGAAAGAAGCCAAAUAUGACAUACCAUUUUGCUAUCCGAGUGUCGUACGAUUCAUUUGAUGCAAUUAAACUCGAGUUUUGACUCCGAUUAUUUAAAUGAAAGAAAAGGACAGCUUUGUUCGUAUUAGAAAAAGACUUCUUAGGGAGAACACAUAUUCCCGGAAAAGAAAAUUAGAGUUCAUUCUUAUAAAGUAAUGCUUUUCGGGAAUACACGGGUGCUACGAAGCGACGUGUGUUUUCUUUUUCAAAAAGACUUAUUUCCCUUAAAGAGGAAACUUCUGGAAACAUGAAUUCUCGAAAGAGGAAUUAACUUUGUUCGCUGCGAUGAAUUUAACAGCAGAUGGUCUUUGUAAGUACCUAUCGUAAGCUUGAGAUAAUUGUCGAAACGUCUUGACCGGAAACACCGCUCCUCGAUCGAUGCGAGACUUUUCAUUUUAAUCAUGGACAGUUAAUUAGCACGAUUGCAUUAAUGCUUCUCGUCGCGUUGCAUAGGAUCGAUAAAGAAUGAGGCGACGUAGAUUGCUUCGCUGUCGAGCAUCGCCCGGACUCCACCUAUUCUCGUAGUCGUUGAGCAACAAGAAAUAUUAUUACAUUUCCAUCGAGUUAAUCGACGUGCCACUCACGAUCGCGGAAAGUAAUCUUCUUUUUUGAAGGCAUUCGCAGCGCAGAUCGACCUGCUUGCGAGUUCCUUGAAAUUCUGACGACACGUUAUUCGGUGCAUUAUAUUUGCCAUCAAUGACAACCUCUUCACGUUGAAACCUGCAUGUCGAUCGAGUCCUGAUCACCGACUAACAGCAGAUCCAAUCCCUGCACCGAUACGAGUGUCCUUCGCCGAUAUCGAACUACGUUCAUUCGAAGAUGCAUCGCGAGACCUAAGCGUCGAUGCAUACGUCGCGUAAUAAUUCAAAGACUUAUCGAAAAAAUGUCGAUCUCAAAACAGAAGGUCGAUCUCUUUAUUUGUACACGCUUGUACAAUGUUUCGCAACGAUAGACUUUAGGUCUGAUCGAGGGUGGAAUAUUGCAGACUCACUCGCGUGAUUUCGGGAGGAGUAUUUAUAUGCCGUUAUUUGUCGGAGUAGGAGAAAGACUUUGGUCGUACGGAUGUGUUAUAUGGUUGGAUGUAACUCUGCACUUCGGUUGUACGGACGUAUCGUGUUUAGGAUGACUGGACGUUACCCUGGCGGUGACUCAAGAUAAGGCGGUUGGGAUUACCUAUCUUAUCUCAUAGUGAGGCAAAUUUACCCCGUGACACGUACGUUAGACGCGUAUAUAAGCUUCUAACGAAAGAAGCAGAGAUAUACCGUGAAAUACGGUCCAUCCAGACGCAACAGCGUCGCUGAUCACCUUACGCUGGAUGCAACUUGAUACGCAGAAAAGAUUUCAUGGCACAAGUUUGCGGAUACGUCAAAUGAUUUCAUUGUCUUACAAGUCAGAAAAUUAACCAGUCCUUAACCAUCAUCUUGCGCGUCUUCCCUUUUCAAAUCUCUUCGCCUAUUUGUAGGCGAUUGCCUUCGUAACGUUUCAUCCAUAUUUCUCUCGUAAUCAAUCGCUUGGUUCGUGCGUACGCAAAUAAUUUAUUAUUAACGCGUUGUUCCGCGAAGGGAUCGUCGGACAUUUUCAAGACGCUUGACGGCAUGGACAUACCAAAGACGUUGCCAUGAACGAACUUAACGUCACGUUUAAUCUGUUUAUACGUAAGACUUUAAUCGCAUUCUUCGCCCGGUAUACUGGAUCGUAACAGGGUUGCUGCGAUGAUAGUAAAAAAAUUAUUGUACCCCGUAGAUACGUAGAUUCGCCUCUUUGUCUGUCCACGUAAGCGCGUCUGACGCUUAUAGGAAAUCUCACCUUAAGAGGAUUCUCCACAUUCCUGCGACAUUGCGUUCGAUCCGCUUUGCAGCGGCAUUUAAACGGGACUUGGGUGGAACGCGCGCAAGGCCGAACAGCAGAUCAAAGAGAGUGUUUGACGGCGGUAGCUGAACCCUGGCACGGACUUCGGCGCGCCAUUUUCGACGCCAGUUACAAUUUCAAAAUUUUAAUUAACCAGCAACCCUCGAGACUGCUGUGCGCUUCGUUAAAAGGGGCACGAAGCCAACGGGGUAAAUUGCCAAGAUGCGCACAGUAAGGUAUUCGAACGAGCAUUAGGAAAAAGGAUGGAAAAUGCACACAACGUGCAGUUUUCCUGAAACUUGGUAUCAGGAACUUCGUGUCGAGGAAAAUUUGUUCGCUUGAACCUCAAUCCGAUUCGAUCGAAACAUCUUUGCUCCGCUGUUUGACACUGCGCACGGUGACGUUUCAAUUCAAAACUAUGUUUUCCCACUUUUCCCUAAGUGUCGUAUAAAACGGCGUAUAAAACCUGACCAAAGGGGGAUGUUGGUUAGGCGAUUAUAACUGCACGACCAUGUUGCGUUUGUAAGGAAUAUGCACCGCAUACAAAACGCCCCGUAAUUAGCGAUACAACUGCGAAGAGCAUGAUCCUACAGGGAAGAAGCAAACAGAACGAGCAGAAUUUUUAGUUUAUCGCGCUUAGUUUGGCUUUGGAGGAAAUCGAGUUUGAGGAUUUUGCUGUUUCAUUUCAGCAUGGAUACAGAUGUUCUUUCGCUUGCAUUUGCAUGCAACAAGAGAAUCUAAUUACCAACGAUCUUUGACGUUGAGGUAACGUUAAAACUAAAUGAGAAAAGGAAACUGAAGAAUAAUUGAAUAAGGAAUCGAAUAAAGGAGAAGACGUUUUGAGAACGUAGGGCGAAAUUUUAUUCAUUUCUGUGCUGUUCUUCGUGCAUUGCGCUGAAAUAUUUUGUUAGAUAGGCGAGAAGCGUUUGUUGUUACCAGGUCUACCCAAAUCUGUAGAAAUUUAUACAACACCCUGUUCAAAAAAGUAAACUUGCUUCGAGAAACAUUGUUUCAACGUAGAAGAUUGUCACAAAAAUGUACGUACGUCGUACGUUUCUAAAACCAAACAGCGUACAGCAAGAUUACUCGUCGCGCUUGCAACAGGCCAACCUCUGUACAAUAUACAACUUGUCAUUUGAUUUAUAUCAAAUUAUUAAACAUUCGAUUUAGAGGAAUGGAACCUACGGAUAAUUCCAACUAAUGAGAAGACGUAGGUAGUUAUUACCAUAACUCGUUCGUGCUAGAUAUCCUGCACAAAGUAUAUUUCAUCUGAAACGUUAUCCAUCGAACACGAUGUCGAAACAACAUCGGAAAAUUAUUUCAUUCGCUUAGAACGAUACGCCUAUAGGCAGAUACACAGAUACUUGCGAAUACGAUGCAGCAAAUGUAUUUCAAAUCGUACGACGUUGCAUUUGAUCGACCACGAAGACGACCGCCGUGCAAUGGGAGAUGUACAAUUUAUUAAACGGUUUGAGAAAGGCCGUGAUUUUUAACGCGCGUUAUUCGCAAGACAGCGACGCUUGCAGUCGUAUUCCCAGCACGUUAGCGUCGAAAGUUGUUUCAGAUUGAAGCGCCGGCUUGGCCAGCUUUAUUUACAGCGCGACCGGCCACGAGCAGGUUAAUAUUGUAAAUGUAAUCUCGCGGAAUCCAAAGAGAGACGCGAAGCGGUCCGUGGCGAUCUCGUAAUGGCGGGAUUUCCGUUCUACAAUUUCCACUCGGGGGAAUGGGGCUACAUCUUGUCGGGGCGACGCUGAUUGGAUAUAAAAUUUCAUUUUGCCCCGGCACACCUAAAUCCACCGGUAACUCUCGAUGCUCGCGAUUCCGCUUUCAAUAAAAGUCCCUUUAUCUCCUUAAUUGCUAUCAUCCUCGUGCAAUUCUCUCGGAAUCGCGGCAGAUUUAAAAAAAAAGAGGAGGAACGACGUUGAAAAAUGAAUGAAAAAUCAUCGUUGGACCUGCUUCCAUUCCAUUGCGAAAACCUAAUCGAACGAACAGUAUCUCGAUGGAAAAUCGUUUUACCUAGCGGGAAUCGUAAGAAGGCUGUUUCGGACUGGUCUUCGAUGCAGCAAAAUCUGAGACGACGAUAAAAUAAAUCGCUGCGAACGUCUGAAUAUUAUCGAGAAGCGCGCGCGGCCAGUUUUCGUGCUCUCGUUUGUCAACGCGAUUUAUCAAAGUUUGUCGGAAUUGACGGUCGUUGCGGGCUAACAAGCUAAUCGAAAUAGCCGGUCGAAAUUUUACCUACAUCUAUGCGACACAAUUAGAAGUUGGUUCACGAGAUGUAACGCGGAAGUCGAAGCAUGGAGCUAGCGGUGCAGUUGCCAGUCGGGACGCGGUCGAAUACGCCGGCGGAAUAAAGGCGCCGGUAUAAAAGGAAACGCGGAGUCGUCGUUUCUCAGCGCUGUUAAACCUCGUGUCUGUGCAACCGUAUGCAGAGCAAACUCUUUGCGUGUCUCCGGAUUGAACGUAUAUACCGCAAGGUAAAGCUAUCCAUUCGGCUAUCCUGCUGUAAUGCGAAAAAUCAAUAUCGCAUUAGUUGACGGCGAAUGUCAGCGACGAAAUUAUGAAAUGUCAGUUUACGAAAUUGGAGAAUUUUGCUGGGGAAAUUCCUAUUGUUACGAAUAAACGUUUGAACGCGUACGUUUCCCUUAUUUUUAACCUACGCGUUGUUAUAUUCUGUCGAAGAAAUUAAUCGCAACAUGCAGCAGCGGGAUACAAUGGUCAAGACGACGAAGAUUUUCACGCGGAUAGGAAAUCGUAGAAAGUACGCGACUUCGCAAUUGAAUUCUAGGAUUAUAUCGGCUAUCGUAAUAUGAAGCUACUCGCGUACACUUGCGGAACUUUGAUGAAUCUGCUAAACGAGUUCUCUUAAAUCUGCAAGUUUCUUCAAAAUGAUAAUCUACGAGCAACUAUGGAUGUUUUAACAGAGUCCAAAUAGCGGCCAAUUUGCCUCUGACUCGAAGUACGAAAUUAAAUCAUUUCAAUAGCUGUUCUCUAAACGAUAUUGAGAAAUUGACGGUGAAUAUGAAAAGACUGGGAGGUAAAGGAGUAUCGUCGCUGGCCGAUCUCCGCUCUUUUAUUGUUAGCAAACGGUUGCCGUUAGUUGUAACGUUAAACUUUUCACCUAAUACAGCUUAAUAAGGAUCCAAUUAGUAAGAAGCACGCGUAAAAAGCCGAGCGAACUUGGUUGCAGCGAAGGGAACGCAGAGUCGUGUAAUCGUAGAACAAACACCUGUGUAGGAGCAGAACGACAAGACCAAGAAUUAACCUACCUGCACAGCCGUAGGGAUGUCCUUGCUUUAAUUGCAAGUAUGCCCAGGUUACCGCCAUUAUGUCUCGAAGUGCUGAACACGGCUGGCAUCCUCUCUGUGCCUGCAAGUAAUUUACUUGUAAACUAGUUGAGACGUUUUGCUCGCCAUACGAUCGAGCAGGAAGCUCCGUGCGAUAGAAUCCGAAGGUAAUUCGAAGCUAAGGACACGAGGUCUCUCCGUCGUCAACUGGCUCUUCUUUUUUAUACUGGCUCUUCUUUUUUUGACAAGAAGUCGAAUCGCAGCAUCGUUCGCGCGUUGGAGCAGAUCAGAAGACGAAGCAAAAUUACCUUAUCCAUAGGAAUCAAUCAGCAGCGUCGACAAAGAAAAAUUAUUAACGCAGACCUCGCUGCUAUCUCGAGUAUAGCGACGUACCAAGCGCGAAGAGGAUCUCGUAUCUACCGCCACGCCACUGUAGAUAAUUCGAUCAACCUGGAAACCAGUGUACGCGAUGCAUUUAUCAACAACGAAAACCUCAAAGCGAUAUGCUUAGACAUGGAGAAAGCGCACGAUAUAGUUCGGCGUACCAGAGUAAUCGCAGUAACUGACAACCCAUUGCAUCUCAUACGGAAUUUCCUAACAGAAGAAGGAGCGAAGGUUAGAGAGAAGAAUAUGCUGUGCAUUUGCCCGGAAAUAGAAAAUCAUAUUGCUCGAGAUUCGGUCAUUAGCGUGACGUCUUUUCUUCGAGAGAAAUUAAUGAUACUUGCAAGUAGAUCGGAGAUAUUUCGCAGUUAUUGCCAUCUUCUCGUCAGUGUCAGACACGCUGCCGCACUUUCAUCUACACUCGGUGCCUCCACCUGAAGAAGGUUAAGCGUAACGCACGAGCUGCUACUUUCUCAUCUUCGCGCUCAUCUUUCUCAACCUUCUUAGCGCGUUUUCGCUAGACGUCGGAACGACACUUUUUCUUCCUGAAGAGAUGGUUCUUGAACAACGUUCCGUAAGAAUUUCUCCGUGCAAAAAUGCCAGCUUCUCGACAUCCUUCUCUGUCUGAUCCAAAUGGCAAGUCAACGAAAGCACGCACGCAUCCCCCCGGUCUAAUCGAAUACAAUUGGACACCGGAGGAGGCAUCGUCGAACGAAGGUUUAUUUUACGAAAUUAGCCAAACAACGCAAGCCAUAGCGCGGUAAACCUGUCCGUAAGAGUAACUUUGAUAGUUCGUUGACCCCCGGGCUCGCGUUUCCCCGCGGUGAACCACAAUACGCCAGCUGGCUAACCUUGGUUGAGCCAAUAUUAAUUUCAUUAAUUAUGCGCCACCGUAUUACGAUAUUAGCGCCGGCACGGCCAUUCCGCUAUGCGGCAUAAUUUCCCCGGGAACCGCACUAAUUAUCGCGGCAAGCCUUCUUCGAGUACGACGAUCUGGUUCGAGGUCGUUCUUACUGGUUCCGAACGUGGGCGAACGAAAGUACCGCGCCGUAUCGAAAGUUGCUGAUAUUAAUUAGAUGAAAUAGCAGUGAAGGAGGAAAUCCCAUUUCUAAAAGAGGCGGUUCCUGUAAAUGUUGGGGUACGGAGAUGAUCGGUGUGUACGAUACGCGAGUUUCCGUCGCAUAACACGGUAUUUUUGCGACAGGGCCUGGCCUUAUCGCGCUUUGAAAAUUUUGCAAACCGUGGCGCGACGCGAUUUCUCUUUCCACGAUGGGAAAAUCCAACCUAACUCCAAACCUAUGAAAAACGAAAGUGUGUGUAUUCGUGGGAGACGUGCGAAUUGGAAAGAAAAGUCAAUGUCCCAUUGGUCUAGAUGGUUUCAGACAAAAGCCAAAAAUGCUGUUAACUAAUUGCAUGUUAAUCAUUAAAUUAUUACAUGCGAUUGCAAUAAUUGAACAGACGAGAAUGUUGAAACGCAAGCACGUCAUUCUUAGUUCAGCAAGCGCGAUCUGUCGUCUUAGAUUAACGUAUGAAAUUUUGAUAUACCGAAAUUUGUGAUCUAUUGGUAUUUGUAUUCUCUUGCCUCCUAUUCCUUUGCUUCCUCCUCCAACUUUGUUGCUCUUUUCCCUGUCCUAGUUCUUAUCUUGUCUCGUUUCGUCUCUCCUAGCCCCGUGUUACUCUCGUGUACAGCUGUCCAGACCUAAUACCCACCUUAUGUAUGUUAUCUGUAUCUUUUCCACUUGCCAUCUCUCUUCUUAAUCCCAUCCCUCAUACUCAUACGCCAGUACGUUCAACACUGACACGCGAAACAUGUACAUUCUCAACUUUAAAUCGCUCUUAAAUUUCCUCCGUCCUAUGCCCGAAACCUGGUUUAAUCUAAGUUAAAACCUUUCUUAAGUUUCCUCUCCCUUAUGGCUCGAAUCUGGCUUAACUCGACUGAAAAUCAUUUCUAAGUCGUCUCUGUUCUAUGCUGCAACAAACGUCGCUUAACUCGAUUGAAAUUAUUCUUCAAUUUUCUCUGUACAAUGCCUGAAACCCGAUUCAACGAAACUUUCGCUGGCCUCUCUGUGGCAAUUGUUCAUUUCUUGCCUGCUGUCCUUCUACGCGUAUAUUACAACAGCUCACUGUACUUUAACGUUGCAUCGUAUUGCCCCAGAAAUCCAUAUCAAUUAAUAGUUUGGCUGUUUAAUGCGAUAAGUCUACCGCAUAACGUUAUGGCGUUUGAUAUCAUCUCUUUGAAGUUGCAUACAAAUUGUAGCAGACACUUUGCGUAAAGUUGCUUACGCGGCGAAGGCAAAGCAACUUUGUAGAGUCUCGUUGUCAGUUAAGUUGUUGAAAUAUGCAAUUAAGCGUCUCUUAACGAGCCGUAAUACAGGUUACUAGCCGUAAAUCGGCUACUAUUAAUUUUCUGUUAAUUGUUGCACAUUACUGUAUUAACCCAUUAAUUUUCACGCGAUAGCAGCCGCGCUGCAUCUACGUAAAUUGCUGUCAGUUAUUAAAAUACAGAAACGAGAAGAAAGGGAUAGAGGGCUUUUAGGUGAAAAGAGAGCGAGCCUGAUCCGCUUCGUUAUAACGAACAACGCGUAACUCGUGCAUAAUUCGAGCCUUUAAAUUUAUGUAUUUUCCUGGAUAAACGUAUCAAAAUUAGCAUCCAAGCUACGACAUACUGCAACUUGCGAUUAAUCGUUUGUAAGGAAUACAGCAAUAGGGCAAGGAUAAUCCUCCAUGUCCGUGUGAUUUAUCGUCGUGGCUACUUUUCUGUUUAUUUCUUGCAACACUCUGAUCUCGCCUUUUCCGAUCUACAAAUCGCUGGAGCUGAUCGUGCGUGUCUAAGAAAAAAGUCAAACGACUACGUAAAUAUUGGAUCAUUAAAAUAAUGUUGGAAAACGAACGAUUAAGUCGAUAAGGAACUCGACAAAUUAACGUAGGUGUUUUAUUUUUGUAUAACACGCGACCGUGUGCGAGCAUAACACAUGGACGUUUCGCCUACUAUGAAUCUAUUUUACAUAAAAUUAUCAACAGCACUUGAUGAUCCAGCAAAGUUCGAUUAAUUUUCCAUUCAAAAUUGGUCUGUAAAAUAGCGAAUAUUUGAAAUUAGAAGCGCCAAUCAGAUACGGAUUAAUGCUAAAAUAAUUUGUUAAUACAAUUAGUCCAAUUAUCAAGCGCUGCUUUCCAACGUAAUUAUUUCCUUUCCAAUUAGGGCACAGUGUAUCCGUCCUAGUUAUUACGUAAUUAUAGCUAUACUUUUUUCUUCAAUGAGACGUAAAAAUUCGUUAAUUUACCCAGCUAAUUAUUCCUCGCUAUAAUAUACAGAAGUAGAUAAAAUGCAAAAGUGUCGUUUAAUCGAUCGACGAUUAACGAUACUGCGACGGCAAACUGGAAAAGUUUCAGUCUACUUUCUCGUUAGACCUUGUUCGAAGGUCCAUAAUUCUUCAUAUCCAAAAAUGUCGAAUAAAUAACAUCAAACACAUUAUCCUCUCGCGAAGAUCGGGAAAACUCGAUUAAGUUGGAGCCAACCGUAAAUCCAUGGCUGCGUUAAGCAUCGCGAUAUAACCGAGGACAUUAUCCCAUGCUUAAUACCACAGAAGGAAUUACUUACUCUGGUAUGCACGGCUUAAAAUUACGAGCUGAGCCGUGCCUGUGUCGGCGGUUUCGUUGUGCUCGCGGUAAACCAGGGAGGAGAGAUCUCGUCAGGUUAUUGAGCGUAUUUUAUUGGGAAAAGACGAUGUCAAAAAAUGGCCACUUUCGCGCCUGCUUGCGGACGAAAAAUCCCCACAGCAGGUUAUCUAACGAAUUAUCAGAGAAAUCCGAGUUUUAUGUGUAAGGAAAAUAACGAUAUAAAACGGAGAACAAACGUUUGUUUAAAUGGUCCACGAUAUCGAGCGUACGAGUGAUUUACAAUUCUUAGUCGUGAAAAGUUGUAGCAAGUUUCCAAUGGUGUUUCGCUUUCCUUCUUUCUCUGUUCGUGCUUUAAUAAGAAGUUAUAAUCUGAUUUUGCCCAGAGAAGGAAAUAAUUAUUACUGUCCAGCUCGUGUUUAGGUUUCCCUCUUCUUUUUCUAUUCGCGCUCUAAUAAAAACUUAUAAUCUAAUUUUCCUCGCAAGAGGAAAUAAUUAGUAUUGUCUGGUCGAUGUUUAGCCCCCUUUCUUUCUCAUAUUCCUGCUCUAACCUGAACUUAUAAUCUGAUUUUUCGCCAAACAGCAGAUGAUCAGUAUCGUCCGGCUGGUAUUCAGGUUUACUUCUUUUUCCUGUUCCUGUUCUAAUAAGUAUUCAUAAACUGAUUUGCCCCGCAACAGCAAACGAUCAUUAUCUGGCUGAUCCUCGCGUUUCUUUCGUUUUCCACGCACGCUCUAAUGAUAAACUGUCUGGCGAUUAAUAUCUCGAAAUUUAUUACACAGGCGAGCGCCGGAGGCAGUGAAUUUGAAAAACUCGCGGAGCUGUUACAAAUAAUGUAACAAAUCCUUCUGCAAUUCGUCCGAACUGUCCGUUUGUUUGCACCCUUUUAAAUCACGCGGAUGAAAGCCGCGCGUGAACGCAUCGGCUGCGUACGAAAAGCCGUCAAAGGGAUUUCGAAAAGCGAUUGCUAUUUCUAUCGAUGUCUGUCAUUCGUUUGAAGCCUCAAACGAAUUGUUGCCAGCGUUUCGCUCGCGGUAAGUCGAUACGUUUAACUAGAAAUCCGACGUGUAGGCUAACAGAGACGUUCAAUCUUUGGUCUCUGUGCUGACGUUGGCGUAUUCAAACAUAAAGCAGAGACUGGGCUGGCCGGCGGGCGAAAAACUGUUUUCUCAACAACUUAAAUCCACUCGGACAGGAUCCACGCCCCUGUCGAAAACUUUCCUGCGUUUUACGUUUGCUCGAUAAACACGCCGUCCCGGCUAUCUGCACUUUAUUGCUUAUACCGGAGAACACUUUCGCAAACAGCAAUCCAUCUAAAUAAUUUGCGGCCAAAAUACAGACACGUACGCGAAACGUGGCAAGGUGGUGCGUUUUACUGGCUCAAGAAAUAAAACAAAUGAAAUUGGCCGACACUAUCGUACCGAUAGUGAUCAAAGUUUCACACAUCCCGUACCGCGGCAGAAUUGAAUGUGUCGACGAAACUGACGACUGACUGACAAAGGCGACGGCAAAGGCAAGUUGAACAAAGUAAAACAGAGUAGGAUAAAAUAAACGGAAAAAACGAACGACUUCCUACAGCGAGUCGAAGCUUUUCCCGUCGAUCGACAAUCCUAUAGCGAGUAGCAGUUUAUGCAUUUUGGCUGAUCAGCCCAGAAAUUCGACUUGGUUAGGUGGACUGCAGAAUACGUAACAUUGUCUUUAUCGUGCGAACCUGGCUCACCGUAAACGCCAGAGAUCACAUUUUUUAGGUCAGCGAAGAAGCUUCUGAUUCAACGUUAAUUCGCACAUAAAGUUAGGUGAACAAAAGAAACGACCCCUUACUUGGCCGGUCCAGGUAAGGUUAGCGUUAAGGAAUAUCAGCGGUAUUAGUCACGCGUAUCCCUAGACCAGAUUUCCCAUCGAACCAUAAGACUAAUAGACUGGCAGCUGAACCGCGAUAAAAUCGAACAGUCUCGCAUCGUCCAUUUCCCCGGCCGGGAAACGCCACGUUCUCCCUUGGUUCGCAUCCAUCAUUCUCCGGUGUUUACCUAUCUGCCUAUAUCAGCAUUUCCCCGAGCCCAUUUUUACCACGUUGCGCUCUCAGGCGAAACGCGCUGCCUUCAAAACGGCUCUUGUUCGGUCGUUGGCGUUUCCAACUUGCCUCGAAAAUAUUAUCUUUAACGUAGCGGCUGACGAGGACACGGCGUUGUCGAUAUCACAGAACCAGGAGACUGCGAAAACAUUGUUCGAUGUUCUUCCAUACUCUGGCACAUGUUCAACCGGCACCGUCACCACCACCACCACCAACUCGUUCUCGCCCUGUUAAUCCACCUUUUUUUUCAUUUCUCCUUCUUUUUUUCAACCAGCCUUUUUUUCGAUACGAUCGCCACCGUAAUUACCAUUAAUGGUAAUUACCUGGAAGAUAAUUUCCAACGAGCGCAAUUACAUUUCUAUCGGACAGAGUGCAUCGAUUAUCGGCCAGCGAAUAUUAUGCUGAAUAUUCGGAUUUUACGGAGCCGCGGCGAAGGAAUUUGAUAUCAGACGAAAGCAAUCGAAAAGGGUGGAAUGUAUAUAAUUGGAAUAUUUUUGUUUCAAUGAGAUGGCGAUGGUCCCCUCUGUUAUUUCGCCAAUGGCUCGCCCCCGUUGCGGUGAAAUGUAAUUUUCUGCGGUUUUCGGACUAGAUACACUCCGAACGAAGGUAAAAAAAAAUAAAAAAUUUCGCUUUGAGAUAUGAAUUUGCAAGAGUCGUGUUUUAGCUUCUAAUUUGACGCGUAGAGCAAAAAUUGUGGAAGAACCAAUUGGUAGAAAUUGGCGUUAAAAGCGACUGACACUUUCCCCUGGUCCGCUUUUGAAAUAUUUUCCAGUCCAUCGUUUCAAAAUUACGAAUUGUUGGAAGGUAUUUUUGUAGUAAUUUCACGUAGAUGAAAAAUUGUUGGGGAACUAUUUAGUAAACAUUGGUUUUAAAGAAUGAUAAUCCUUUCUUCUGACUCGCUUUUUAAAUACUUUUCAAGGCUUCGUAGGAUGUCCGUGUUCUCGAAAUUUGCGAAUUACUCGAAUAUAUACUUUUGUCACGUUGUUAAUUCUGUCUAAUAGUGAAAUUAAAUCCGGCAAGUGUUGAUUUUAAGCCUAAACCAGCCACGUUCUUUCGCGUCUUGUCGAUACGAUUAACCGCGCGCUUCUCGUCAAACAGAAUCGAAAGGUGCAGAGUUUUGUUGUACGCAGAAAACAAAAGGAAAAGUUCAAACAGUUUAAUUCGGUUCAAUGGUAAAGUAAAAUCUGCCGUGGCUUGAAUUCAAACUUGAAAUAAUAAUUAAUGGUGCUGACCAUACAGAGUCAUCAGUUCCCUUUCUGCGUGCUUCCUUUCACGCGGACUUGCGAGAUUUAUGUAGAUUCAUUAAUCAAGCCAUUCACUAUUCUCGCUGAAUUAAAAUAUGUAAUAAGGGAAAUGAUUUAUCUGAGUAGCAGGUUUUGCAACAACAAUUAAAAGCUCGCAGCGCCGAGAGAAAGCAACUUCUUUAUAAACAUUAACGACAUGAUUAACGAACAAAGGGAGAAUAUUCCUCCUUUUGCAAGAAUAUUUCUUUCUUUCACGGACCCUGUAUACGUUUUCUCGAGGAUACUUUACAGAGCAGAGAGAAUAAAAAAUAAUUGGUUAUUUGCUAUCAAUCGGUAAUUUGCUAUUCCCGCGCAAAUAAAAAUUAAUUCGAGUAAUAUGCGAAUAUACGCGUUGAGUUCUCGUUGGAAUUGCAUUCUUCUUUCAGUUCGUUAGUAGCUGCACCGAAAGAUGGUGUUUUCAUUCCGCUUUUACAUCGCCAAUUCGUUUACUCCAUUUCGCGUUCCUCACGCCUCCGUUAUCAAGCGCAUAGAAUAUACGUUAUAAUGUAACGUAGCAUAUCCCAGCAUGCUCGUUCAGCCUUCCACUCGCAUCGUUUUCGUUUAAUUUACACAUUGUUGCGAUGUUUAACCCGCGAGAAUGACUGUACGGGAAUAUAAAUUUAUAAGAUUAUAAAAUACGUGGCCGUAGAAAUCGGAAUACAAAUCGUAAACUGUGCGCGGUAAUACGCAACGCUGUGCAGAAUUUUCGUUCGUAAGAUUGGCAUUUUCUCACUUUCUAAUUAUCCCAUUUUCUUGCGAUACGUCGCGACCGAAACGAAUGUGUAGCAGGCCUUUCAGUAUCGCGAGAUUUGAAACGAAAGACGAGCGCGUUGCUAAACGAAACAACGAAAACGGAAAUGGCGAAAUAGAAAGCAGUUCUCGCCGAAAUCCCGCAUUUAUUAAUUAAAAAACAAUCGUUGUUUCGUCAUGUAACCUUACAAAAUUCACUUUAGUUACUCAAAAUUGCACGUCGCGAAUAGACAAAAGUGUGAAUCUUUGCACCCGAAAAUCGGAAAGAAUAUUUCAAGUAAGUCAAUUCAUUUGCAGUUACGUUGCGUUAAUAUGCCUGCGUAUGCGUGACGGUUCGAUUAGAAUUUCAUAAAACAUGGGUUUUCUUUCCAUAUAUAUGCCAAAUUGAAGUUGAACAAAAUAACACGUAUAUCGUAUUUAUUUAUUGUAUCGUGCCUGCUCUUCUUUGCAACUAGGGUCCGCGAUACGCUACGACACGGUUAGAAAACCAGCAAUAUCUUCGCAAAAAUAACGGUUUCUUUUCGAAAGCAAGAAGAGUAAUUUGUAACUGUAGAUUAAAAUUGGGCAGCCGGUAUAAUCCACUCUGAAGAAAAUCAGACAGAGUACGAAGCAAUCGUUUCAGGACUCGAAAUUCUCGUACUUCCUUGGCAAAUUUUCAACGACGAAGGCUUCGAAAAUGAUCGCUGGAUAGAAUUUCUAGACCUAUCGCCUUCACGAAAUGACCGACCAGGAAAGAUCGAGCCGCGAUUCGAGUCGUCCAUCGAGUCGUCAAUCGAGUCGUCCAUCGAGUCGUCAGCCGAGCCACGAACCGAGUAGAGAGCUGAAAUCUCGUAACAAUUCUACGCCAAAUCACUUCGAUUGCGAUGCUCGAUGCGUGUCUCCUAGCACAGGGGAAGAUCCAACACUGAUCGUGCGUAGCAACCGAGUUUCUAAUACUUAGACCGCGAAUUUUUCGAAACUUAUUUCACGUAUCAUAGAGACCAGCAUACUUUCGGAUAUUUUAUACGCAGUUUCUCGUGCAGUUUUGCAUUUUCAAAAUUCCUCCCUCGCGAGCCAGUUGAUUUUAUCCUGACAGAAAUUUGUCUAUCGAUUAAAGCAAAUAUUAGCAAUCAGCAGCACGAAUGAACGCAAAAUAAAUGAGACGAUAUUUUUGAUAAAUACGCAAGUAUAAUAAUACGCGUGGGGCUCACAGUGCAGCAUAGCUGUUAUCAUAAAUGUAAUUUAAAUUUCGUCGUUGUUUCCUUCGUUCGUCUAACUUUAUGCAAAUCAGUUUCCCGGCUUUUCUUAAUAGAAGAAUUUACAUAAAUUUAGACGAACGAAAGUAGCAACGACGAAUGUACAAUUUUAAAUUGGAUUUCGAAACCGGGCACUUGACCGAGCUUAGUGUUCCGGAGAAACGUAUUUCGUGGUUCGAUCAGUCUCUCAUUUCGUAUCAUUCGGCCCUGUUGGCUCGGUGAAGCACGCUGCGGAAAGUAUUUCGAUUAUGAAACAGAGGUGAGUUCCACGAACUGCGGCGUGCAGAAUAUUCGGGGCGGCGCGUCGAUAUCCGAGGUAAUUCAAUAAAUACCGGUGCUAUCAAGAACUUCCUGUACCAAUGAGCUCUGAAUAAUUCCGAAAGUUUGCGAAAUUGUGGAGCACGUCUCCGCCCGAAAUCGCCAAAGUUCCCGCGUAUGAUGUUGAGCAAACCAACGCGAGAUCGUCGCGUCUCUCGAUCCUGGGUGUGUUGCGUAGCAGGUGACAAGGAUAUGACGAGAUUUACACACACACACACAUGGGAAAUAGACGUAGGUCAGUUGUAGGAGGCCGAUCGUAGAAUCGACGAGGGUCCAGCAGGGGCAGUUUUAUUAUGUUUUCGUCGUAUGUCAAGUUUCAAAGUAACAGAAUACGAAACUUACGAGACAUAGGUAUAAAUAAAGUAGAGAUAUUUUAUACUCGAGAGCUGUGUAUGUAUGCUUUUACGUUAAAGUGACGUUCCUUGAUGAUGGCUUUCGAGUAUUAACUAUCAUAGAGAAUUAAAAAAAGAAAGAAAAACACUACGCUUGCAAAGUUAAAUUUUUUCUGGUUUAAUGUUACUUUCUAUGACAGCCCAUCGAAUCGUACGAAGUACGCGCUUGCGACGCACGCUGUAUGAUGUCUAACUCUAAGGGACGAUCAGAGGAAGCGUCCAAGUCAAAAAAUUGUGGGUACAAGUACUGCUGAAAGAAGCAGAAGAUUGGACGUUGGUCUGCGUUGAAGAAAACGCUUCUGGGUGGCGGAGAUAAUCUUGCGUCGAGCUGAAACAACACCUUUCUUCUUCCUCUCUUCAUCUCUCGUUGCAAGACGUCGGUGAAAAAUGCCUGUCAUCAUAGGAUGCACGAAAGAGAACAAUUGCAAAAAGCUUGCAUUUUUAAAAGCCAAGAUGCUUGAACAAGCUCGGGCCGCAGAGAAGAGCAAGAGCAACGAGGUGGGUGCUAGCUCGGAGAAACCCAUGGAAACGCCCGUACGUUCGACCGACACCGAGUUGAACCGCGAGCCAAGAAUCGUGGAACAGCUGGAGGACGAAGAAGUCGAGCAAGGACCGAUAGAAGGAGCCGAGGUUCCAGCUGAACUUCGCGAAACAGCUGGCCAAGCUGAAGCAACAAAUAACGAAGACCCAACUGACGCCUAGGGCAUUUGAAAAUUCAUCAGCACCAGCCAAGAAUAUUAUCGAAUAAAGGAGCGAAGAACUUGACCACGGAGCAGAAAUCUUGGCAACGGACGCUCCUGAUUUACUGACAGUUAGGUAAUAAUUGCUCGUUUCCCUCGACUCGAGAUCUUUCGUCCCGGUUGCGUUGUUGAUGGUCCCAGCAGGUUCCAGGGGGACUCGUUGUACGUACGACGUGAUAUUUCGCUCGCGCUCUGUCUUCCGAGUCCGACAAAACGACAAAUCCUAUCCGCUGCGUACAAUCGAGUUCUCCAAACGAUAAUUCGCGGUCGUAGAGUCUGGAUUUUCGACAAAUUACAGAGAGAAAAGCAUUUACGUGUAUCAGCCCUCUAUCUUCCAAUGAUCCGCGUCUGUCUUCGAGUCGAAGAUCUACACUUGCAGCGAAACGACGUCGUUUCCAAGUACGUUUCGCGCUUAUCAUAAAUUUGCAUCGUUCGAGCAGAAAGCCAGCCGCCGGGAAACGCGCGACAGCCUCCGAGGAAGACUCGUUUAGCCGCGUAAUCACCGGAGGCGGAUUAAUUCGCCGACAUCGAGGAGCUGUGCAAGCUCGCGAGGCUCGGCCGUGCAACGAGAGGAAAACGAGAGGCAAGAAAUCAAGGGAACCUUUUGUGCUUAACGACAGCCAGAGCCCGGCGGAGUCCUUGGGUAAAUUUGCCGACUCGUCCGCUAACUAAGGACGUCCCAACUGACGAUUUCAGCUCGGCUAUCCGACUAGAAAAGAGGUCGCGCGGUGGUUGUUCGGCGCCGUGGACGAGAUCAAGUUCCGUUGGUUCUUUGCCCGGUCAUGUUGUAUCGUCGUGGCUCGCUCAGAAUCGAAAUCGAAUUAACGCGACCGAGGAAUUGAAACGAGACGAUCCGAAGCAGCUUAGAGUCGUUGGAUGUUUCUCGGAGAUCGGAAAAUUGGUUCGUCCGAGGAUAUGGAGAGUGAACCUAACGGGCGACAGGAAAUAGAAGAAAUUAAAGAGGCCGACGAGGUUGCAGAAGAGGCCGAGGGAGAGGAAGGUACCGAAGAGAAGACAACGAAUGCAGGAACUUUGGACGAAACCGCAGAGAGGAAGCCGUUGAAGCAGGAUGAAUCGGUGCAGUUAUCGAUAAACGAAGAAUGCCCGUCUCAAGAGUGGGACGAACACGCGAAAGAAAGAUUCGACACGGCCGUCUUCACUUUGGGCACGUGCGCUGCGGUUUUCGCUGUCUACAUUUACAUCGUGUACAGUUUGAGCAGUCCACCGACCGUGUUGCAUCGAGUCUAACAGCGGUUCCCUAAUCAAACGAUCGAAAGACCGUGCAAGUCGAACGCCAGAGUCCACUGUUUGCGACAGCUGUGUACAAAAGCAGUGUAUCCGAAACGUAAAAUAUACCGAGCAAAAGAUGAAUUUCAGCGCAAUGUUUUCUUUAACACAGAGACUCGCUGACGGAGAGACUUUAACAAGCUCUUCGAGGAACUUAAUUGUAUAUUUUACGUAUUUAUAUAUUUCAUUACAAAUUAUAUACGAUACUUUGGAAUUUCAUUAGCACUUGAACUCCACUUGACUAUCGUUGUUACGUUAAUAACGGCUGAAACGAACCUGAGAACGUAUGUAGAAAUUUCCAGAUACUACUCGAUAUUGCAAAGAUCGUCAGGAUAUUGGCAAGACCAAUUAUUGACUAUAUUAAUAAAUCUCGAUAUCUAGUCGGGCCAUUUUUACCACUAGCUGCGUCUUUGAAACCGCUCCUCAUCUUGCAUACUAAUUUUAACAAUGACGUUGAAUAUACGUUCACGAUGAACGUCUUGCAACUUGCUCGUAGACUUUUGGGUCGAUCUGGAAUUUCGCUAUUGCAAUUAGGAUAUUGUCGUGUCUUCGUUACACAGCUAACCAAGUUCCACAAAGUUUCGUUCGAUGCACGUAAUAUAUUCAUGAAAAAACGUUAAGGUACUCGAGGACUGUUGUCGCGAUUGUAUCGAUAAAGUUUGAAAAGGAUCCGAGGGUGUAUGCAUGUAGAGACGAGGAGAUAUUUAUUGGAAACUAUUUCGCCAAGACCGCCAAUUUGAAAGAUCAAUUAUUCGCGAUAUCACUAUGCCAGAAUAUUCAGCGUGAUCGUGUAUAACGGUAAUUUUACGAUGCAGACUACUCUGUUAACGCCCUAUGCUAAUUUUUCACCGAAUUUAUGUUUUCAAGGCAUAUCCUGCAGCUUCUAUACGCAUCUUCGGCUUAGUUUCGAAAUUUACCAGCAGAAUCGGGACAAUCCUGUCUCGUUACGGUAUUAACGAAGUUUCAAAAAGUUUGGUACAAUGUGCGUAGUAUGUUCAUAAAAAAAAAAUUCUAUAUUAAAGUGUUUGAGUGCUUUUGCGAGUCACUGUACUUUCAUAAAUAAUCGGGCUGGAUGAAACGACGGUGUAGAAAAGUUUCCUCGUUUCCCGCUGAACGGUGAAAAGUUCUAUCAAGUCAGUUACCCAACCAGUCGACUUGUUCUGUUGUAGAUUAAUUAAUUUCUACCGCGUCGCGUGAUUCAAUUAACAGAGCUAAUUGGAUUUCAUCGUUGGAUCGACGCUCGCGUCAAACGGAAUAUCGAUAGAAUUUAAAAAGUGCUAAUAACGUCGGAGAAAAGUAUCACCGCACGCUGUCUCGUAGACGUAUUUGGACACCCGUCACGGCUAACUUUCUUCUUUUUUUCCCAAAUCUGUCGCUAAUUAUAAGAGAAGAAGGAAGGGGCCACGUUGCGCGAGUUUUCGAUUGUUAACAGAAAGAAAAUUGCGGAUAAUUUGCCGGUGAUGAGUUUUUACCGUCGCAUUGCUUUUUAACGAGUAUUACUUUGCAAUACCUUUGAAAGCUCCAUCUGAAAAUGCAUUCGGUGUUCCAAUUGCAGUCAAUUAAAAUGUUGAUGAAGCAUCCCUUAUCGAGUGAAACGACACGACGUACCUAUUAGUUGAAAUAGACGGAAUGUGACACGACGUAGCAAAAAGUUAGAUAUCGUAAAAAUUAUGGAACAAUCAACGAAAUGUUGAUUUUGAUAGCCCGUAAAAAUGAAUUGCCGUUCCUUCGGAAAGUAAUACGUCAACGGUACGAGAAUAUGUCGUCGAAUUGAAUGCUUCGGUUUUAUUAUAUUACAACGUUUCGGAGCUUCGAUUCGAAACGCGUAUUUUCUUCGACUGGAAACCUAGUUCGAUCGAUUUUCCGACGAUUAGUCGAUUGAAUGGUACUUGGAAAUUUAAACGGUGAUUUCUGCCCGCGUGUAUUUCUCUGGAACGUAAUAUCAAAUUUCGAGAAUUUCCACCGCAAACUCGACGCGUUCAAGUUUGACGUACAUCCCGCUACCAUUGACUCGGAUUAAUUAAAUUUCUGGAUUCCUUUGACGGAGAAUGAUGACCUUUCGCCUUCUCACGCUCGGUAAUGUACACUCAAACCUGUCUGGGGUUGUCCGCAAAAUUGCCAUAAGUUACUGCGCCCCUUAAAUACCCAGCGAUCUCGGAAAUUAGACGGAGCACGUGAAGUAUAAUACGUAUAUACCUUCGUUCUAUAACGUCUCUCUGUAAGAGAUACGCAAAUCUCGAAGGUUUCGUGAUUUCGAAACACGCGAGAAUGAGGAACCCACGUUGUCCGAGCUUAUAAGAAGGCGGCAUAAUUAUUCGGAUAAUGGAAUAUUGCGCAUAACGGAAGAGUCGCUAGACAGAGCGGAAUUUUUAUGCAUUUAUGAGAAAUUCAAAGGCGCGGAAAUGCGUAGAAUGCAGGGAAUAUGCAAAAGUAUAUGAAAUAUUCAAAGUAUAGUACUCGUUAUAAUAUUCAGUACGUAAAGCAAUUCUCUGUCUGGUUUUCAUAUUCUCUGUGAAUAUGCAUUUGCAUAAAUAUCCGCGAUCGAACAAUCACUUUUCUCCUAUGAAAUUGAUUAGCGUGGAUGUUUCGAGGUUUUCGCGCGUUAUAAGAAUUCUACGCGCUCUUGCGCUUCCACGAACGUAGUUAAAAAUGCACGUUCGCGAACGUUGUCUGAGAAGAAAAAGAAGAAAAAGUAGAAGCGGAAGAGGGUGAGACGAAGUUCUACCGAACAUGUUAAAAAUUCCCUGCUGUCCGUCAUUUCCUGUCCCACUGACUCUCCAGUGAAAUAUAGCACGAGCUAAAAGCAACAAUACGACGCAUAAUUACGGAAGAAAAAUGCAGAAGCCGCACUCUCCAUUCGUAUUUCUAUGCGGAGAAAUGGCAGAAUAAAAAGAAGCAUCCUGCUGGCCUCGUUAUUUCGUUGUUCUUCUCGUCUAUCCGCUUUUAUUUGUCAAAGAGUGGAUCGAUGACGUCAGAGAACACUCGAAGGCUAAUAGCUCCUUGAGCGUGCCCCUCGAACGAAAACGACGAUUUCUACGAUGGCGUCCAGAAUCUACCGAAACUAUCGGGACGUUUGAUUUUCCGCAAACGAAUGUCGAAAUAUUUAUUCGUAUCUGUAUACCAUUUUUACGUCGAUACGCAGAUGACGACGAUGAACGGCAGCAUUUAACGUACGUAAAGUUAGGCUUACGUUAGCCCAGACGAUGGAUCGAAGUAAAAUCCAGCAAAAGAUUGGAAUAACGAUGACAUCGACCGGUUUCCAGUCAAUUCGCUGGAACCUUGCGAUUUGUUUCCACAUUAACGAAUUGAUUUUUAUAAGAUACCAGUCUUGUUAAUUGUGCUGUAAAAUCGUAACCUGUAAGAGGCCUACCCUGACCCAAUUUACAAGAAGAACAUAAGAAGACCAGCCGCAUUCUCUCAACCAGUUGUUCGUAUCUUAACUGGUUUGGCGACCAGACGAUAGACGCGUGCUCUAUUGUUGAUCUUGAAGAGGAAUAACGAACCUGCUACAAUUCUCCUGGUCUCUAGAGAUCACAGAUUCGACAAGAACAUAAUUGCAUGUAACCACAGCCAUGAUCGGUAAGAAACGCCUAUGUUCUGACGCUAACGCGAACCUAAGAAGACUACGCUGCAGAUUCAUUCUUCAAUGAGCAGAUUUUGGCGAGCAGAUGAUAGUGGCGUGAUGUAAAUGCGACGUAAUUAGGGUGCAGUAUAAAAUAGAAUUUACCUGUUCCUCCUGUACGGUCGAGUAAUUAACGAGAGGAGCUUUCUUGGAAGAAACGUCAUGGGAAAGGCGAAGCGGCACGGCGCUAUGUGAAAUUGCCACUUAGACCUUGUCGCGGAUUGGGUUAAAUUUCAAUUUCUGCCACACGGGCUAUACCUACCACGCUGAAUUAUUGGAUUACUCGGAAUGUUCGACGAAUCUGGUCGCGUGACGGAAUGUUUCGCGGCGUCUCAUUACUCGCGCAAUCGAGUUUCAGCCGGCUGGCUCGCUCGCAUCGCGAUGAAUUUUCACGCUGCUCGCAACUUCCAUCGCGAUACUUGCAUCGCGAACGUGAAGAUCGACCACCCCGAAAAUGCUUUAAAUUGCACUGAAUCGUGCGACGCUGUAGAAUAUGUAAAGUAAUUUUACGCGUGCUCUGGCGCGCGAAUAUCUCCGCUGACGAGUUUCAACAAAAAUGUGUUUCGUCGAAGAUCGUGCGCAGUCACGAGUGCAUGGCCAUUCUUUUGCAAAAAUGACGUAAAUCGAACAGCGCGUUGAACAAGAGCUGACUUUUUAGAGUUCGUUGGCUUUACACGUCGGGAAUAAUGCGAACAUUUUUUAUUUUGUUUUUUAUUUGGGCUGAUUAUUUACGGUUGCGUCGAAUUACUGUCGAUUACUGCAUGACCAGUGACUUAUUUUUGUUAGUCGAUAUCGUAGAUCGAGUUCCGUCAUCUUUGGAAAAAAUUAGCUUCCGUUGAAAUUGUUUAAACGACCUUUUAUAAAAGAGUUAGCAAUAUUUAAGUACGAUGUAGCAGCAGAAGAAUUGUCGCAAGGCAGGAUGAAAUGGUGCACCGUAAUUUUUGCAAAAUAAUACUCGACAACGCAUACAACGUUUCUCACGGCAAGCGUUCAAAUACUUUCUUCAAAACGUUUAUCCUCGUCUUAUAAUAUUUUUGUUCUGCGCUAGAACCACUUUAAAAGUGUCCAGUUAGCUCUAAUUGAAUUAUGGCGUGACACUUCCUUCUCUUUCGCUCUGUUUAUCAACGAAAUUUCCAAAAUGGAGAUAUUUAUCAGAAUUUCGCGUCGUAUUUUACAGUCAAAUUAUAAAAGGUAUCAGGAGACCUACAAAGCGUAGUGGAAAGUGUUUUUGAAAUUUAUUGGAAGACAGGAAUAAGUAUGGCGAAUAAAUUAUGGCUGAUGGACGAAGCGCGGUAGAAGUCAAAGGACGAAAUGUAUGAAUUUUUGAAGGGAUAGUUGCCAAGCUAUUUAGAAAUUAAUUUUGAACAUCGUUAAUAGAACCCUUAUACCUUUCAGCUACGCCACAGAUAAUUUACUAUGAAUCCUGUUAUUAAACGAAGGAGAAAUCAUAUUGGCACAUGAAAUGCGAUAGUCUUCUGCAUGAUCGUAAUUUGCCAUAUCUCUACGGCCUAAUUUCGUUAAAAAUUUAACAGGAUCCGGAACAAAAUAAAUCCGAUCCUCAUUCACCGCAAUAAAUUUCGAACAAAAAUAAGGUACUGAGUACCUAGU